GAUGAACGCUGGCGGCGUGCCUAAUACAUGCAAGUCGAACGCUCUGUGGUUCAACUGAUUUGAAGAGCUUGCUCAGAUAUGACGAUGGACAUUGCAAAGAGUGGCGAACGGGUGAGUAACACGUGGGAAACCUACCUCUUAGCAGGGGAUAACAUUUGGAAACAGAUGCUAAUACCGUAUAACAAUGACAACCGCAUGGUUGUUAUUUAAAAGAUGGUUCUGCUAUCACUAAGAGAUGGUCCCGCGGUGCAUUAGCUAGUUGGUAAGGUAAUGGCUUACCAAGGCGAUGAUGCAUAGCCGAGUUGAGAGACUGAUCGGCCACAAUGGGACUGAGACACGGCCCAUACUCCUACGGGAGGCAGCAGUAGGGAAUCUUCCACAAUGGGCGAAAGCCUGAUGGAGCAACGCCGCGUGUGUGAUGAAGGGUUUCGGCUCGUAAAACACUGUUGUAAGAGAAGAAUGACAUUGAGAGUAACUGUUCAAUGUGUGACGGUAUCUUACCAGAGAGGAACGGCUAAAUACGUGCCAGCAGCCGCGGUAAUACGUAUGUUCCAAGCGUUAUCCGGAUUUAUUGGGCGUAAAGCGAGCGCAGACGGUUAUUUAAGUCUGAAGUGAAAGCCCUCAGCUCAACUGAGGAAUUGCUUUGGAAACUGGAUGACUUGAGUGCAGUAGAGGAAAGUGGAACUCCAUGUGUAGCGGUGAAAUGCGUAGAUAUAUGGAAGAACACCAGUGGCGAAGGCGGCUUUCUGGACUGUAACUGACGUUGAGGCUCGAAAGUGUGGGUAGCAAACAGGAUUAGAUACCCUGGUAGUCCACACCGUAAACGAUGAGUGCCAGGUGUUUGAGGGUUUCCGCCCUUAAGUGCCGCAGCUAACGCAUUAAGCACUCCGCCUGGGGAGUACGACCGCAAGGUUGAAACUCAAAGGAAUUGACGGGGACCCGCACAAGCGGUGGAGCAUGUGGUUUAAUUCGAAGCAACGCGAAGAACCUUACCAGGUCUUGACAUCCCUUGACAACUCCAGAGAUGGAGCGUUCCCUUCGGGGACAAGGUGACAGGUGGUGCAUGGUUGUCGUCAGCUCGUGUCGUGAGAUGUUGGGUUAAGUCCCGCAACGAGCGCAACCCUUAUUACUAGUUGCCAGCAUUCAGUUGGGCACUCUAGUGAGACUGCCGGUGACAAACCGGAGGAAGGUGGGGAUGACGUCAAAUCAUCAUGCCCCUUAUGACCUGGGCUACACACGUGCUACAAUGGCGUAUACAACGAGUUGCCAACCUGCGAGGGUGAGCUAAUCUCUUAAAGUACGUCUCAGUUCGGAUUGUAGGCUGCAACUCGCCUACAUGAAGUCGGAAUCGCUAGUAAUCGCGGAUCAGCACGCCGCGGUGAAUACGUUCCCGGGUCU
Molecule: ribosomal RNA, 1398 nt
Filed under: uncultured bacterium
Lineage: Bacteria
Description: bacterial SSU rRNA
Rfam family: Bacterial small subunit ribosomal RNA
Source: RNAcentral